AUACCAAAAAUUCAGUAUUAUGUCAAAAAAAACUUAAAAAUGUGGUAUUUCAAAGAAUUGCCCAUAAGUUUAUUUCUUAGGUGGUGUUAUUCAAUUAUGGAGUUAAAGUCAAUUCUUUAAGCUUUAGACUUGUUUUCUGAUAUUGAUUUUAAGAAUAUGUUUGUAUGAAUUUCAAAAUCUCUGCAAUAUGUCUUGGAUUUUGAUUCUAGUGAUUUACUCAUGAAACUCCAAAGAGGUUUCAUUUCAAAUGAAUUAAUAUACAAAGAUUUUACAAGUCUUUUAGUUUUUAAUAACGCUGGAUUUUAAUGAAAUAUUUAAAAUCUUAAUUGAAUAACAUCAAACUUUAAAAUCUAUUAAGCAUGAUUUACAAAGAUGAGUUCCAAUAACACUAAAUUUUAAAGUUGGAUAUAGAAUCAUUAGUUGAAUAACAGUGGAUUCGGCUUGGAUUUCAAUUCUAUUAAAAUCCAUUAACGAAUAACACCCCCUUAGGUUCUAUUACGUGGUAAUCACAUGAUAAAAGAAACGAAUGGUUAAUGGUGUUUUAUGAUGCAUAUGGUA
RNAcentral lists this small RNA (558 nucleotides) under Arabidopsis thaliana (thale cress). RNAcentral's name for it is "ATSL063840". Lineage: Eukaryota; Viridiplantae; Streptophyta; Magnoliopsida; Brassicales; Brassicaceae. The record is from RNAcentral.